This 965-nucleotide long non-coding RNA is filed under the name Numida meleagris (helmeted guineafowl). RNAcentral's name for it is "lncRNA (ENSNMEG00000016466.1)". Lineage: Eukaryota; Metazoa; Chordata; Aves; Galliformes; Numididae. The record is from RNAcentral.
CAGAGAUACAGUAUUUCUUUGCGGGAGAUCUGUCCUCUAGCCCUCAAAAGCUGAAGGGCCACAAAAACAGCUUCAUUUAAUGUCCUGGCCUGACUCCAGCAGGAGCCCCUGUGUCGUUCCAGGAAUACUGCGAGCAGCAAACCUUGCUCAGGUUAGGGGUCAGCACUGAAGCUGUUCAGCCAUUUAGAUGCUUCUCAGAAAAUCCCCCCAACAGACCAAGCCCCAUGAAAAUGACCUGAAAAAUAAAACCCAAGAAAUCAAUGCUGUGCUCUUUACAAUUUCUUUGCGGUAAAUAAAUACUGCAUUACCUACACCACGCUCACAUUAAAGGAUUUUCUUCACUGUGGGUAGUCACUCAGUUCAGAAUAUUCAGCGUUUGCUUCCCCUGUUUGUCAGAGGACCUGAUUUGUGAUGUCGCAUGAAACUUCAGAAUGCACUGUAGCUCUCGGCUCCCUCACACAGAAAAGGAGACGUAACAAGCUGUGUACCCUUGCCCACCUCUCCAGGAGAGGGAGAGCUACAGCCCGUGUUAUUGCUUUACCCCAAGGAAAAUACCACGAGGGCGCAUGGCAGGAGGAGUGCUGUAAUUUACAGAGCGCCUGGAGCACAGCCAUGGAAAACCAGUUCCUAGUGAUGUAUCAGGAUGAGUCCCACGAAGUCCAAAGAGGAUAAUUAAAGACAGUUCAACCAAAAGCAGUGGAAAGAGCCUGCUGUUGAAGAGGAGAGCAGUGCACAGCAAGCUCCUCCCCGUGCACAUAGGUCCAUGGCAGCAGCCUUGAAGCCCCAAGCAAUUUCCUCAAUAACUCCACCAAAUGAGCUGGAGAAACACUGCCUUCUGCCUUCUCCAGCAGCAUCUCUUUUUAGACAAAUUGUCAUUGGAAAACCUUUCAAGAAAACGUCUUGCUGUGAAAUACACUUUUCUUGCUUGAAAUAAAGGACAUGGGCAAGUGCUGGAGCUGAUAAUA